This is a long non-coding RNA of Xiphophorus couchianus (Monterrey platyfish), 984 nucleotides long. RefSeq lists it as uncharacterized. NCBI's taxonomy places the organism in Eukaryota, Metazoa, Chordata, Actinopteri, Cyprinodontiformes, Poeciliidae. The transcript has 3 exons. The record is from RefSeq and is a predicted model, not a curated record.
CUUAAAAACGUGGAGAGAAAACUGGUUAAAAAGGAAAAGAUCACGCCACCAGUUUGGCAACAAACUAAUCAAUAAUUACCGAUAUCAACUGAUAAGAAACGCUUAUGUCAAGUUCAUCCAGAUGUGGAGCGUCUCUGUAAACCUGUGGAUUAUUUACUGAACUCUGACCCGAUAACGAGGUUCCGGAUGAAACCAGAGACGGCUCGGCUCACAUGAAAAAUGUUUUCCAUCCUGCUCUUCGUCCUCCUCCUCUUCCUCCUCAGCUGCAGUGAGUUCCCGGUGCGGCCAGCAGGGGGCGCACGGCGGCAGCGGCAUCAGGGCGUGACCGGGAGGAAGAGGAGCAGCAGUGAAGGACACGCUGCUGCAUCCAGAGGAGGCACGACGGGGAAAGCUUCUGCUUCUGCUGGUUCUGAUCAACACUUCUCCAGAUUUUAUCUGGACUUCUUCACUCCAGAACCAGAACAUUGUUUAAUUAGCAGAAUUAUAUUUAUAAAUUUAUCAAAUUAGACGCAGAAAAACUCAAUCAGAAAUAAUCUGCUGAAAGAAGUGAAGCUGAAUUUAUUUCUAUCUUUUGUCUCUUCCACCUAUCAGAGGAGGCGCCGGUCCAGGAGGGAAACUGUCGCCAUAGCAACGCCCUCCAGCUCCUCCUGGAGGCCUGUUGAGCUCCUUUAGUCUCCCCAAAGUUAAAUGUUCCCAAACAGUUAAAUGUGUCACUUCUGCAAGUGAGAGAACAGAUCAGCAACCUUCUUUCAGCCAGCUGACUGGCAGUGUGCAGCACCAGCUGUGGGAGGGGCAGCUUUCAAUCAGCUGGAGAAAGUUCUGGUAACUAGAACACUGAACCAUAAGAAGGGCGUGAUGGGUCGUUGGCACAUUCUGCUAAUCGUGAUGCUAGUUUUUCUUUAGCUUUAGCUAACUAGCUAAAAUUUCCAGAUAAAUUCCUGUUUGUAAACAUUCAGUUGAAUGAAGUUUAAUGUCUGGGUCGAA